Molecule: ribosomal RNA, 1790 nt
Filed under: Durio zibethinus
Lineage: Eukaryota; Viridiplantae; Streptophyta; Magnoliopsida; Malvales; Malvaceae
Description: SSU rRNA
Rfam family: Eukaryotic small subunit ribosomal RNA
Source: RNAcentral
CCUGGUUGAUCCUGCUAGUAGUCAUAUGCUUAUUUCAAAGAUUAAGCCAUGCAUGUAUAAGUAUGAAGUAAUUCAGACUAUGAAACUAUGAAUGGCUCAUUAAAUCAGUUAUAGUUUUUUUUAUGGUAUCCGCUACUUAGAUAACCAUAGUAAUUCUAGAGCUAAUAUGUGCAACAAACCUUGACUGCUAGAAGUAAUGCAUUUGUUAGAUAAAAAGAUGACAUGGGCUUUGCUUGUUUCUUUGAUGAUUCAUGACAGCUUGAUGGAUCAUAUGAACUUUAUGUUGAUAAUGCAUCUUUCAAAUUUUUGCCUUAUCAACUUUUGAUGGUAGGAUAGUGGCAUGCUAUGAGGGUGAUGGGUGACAAAGAAUUAAGGUUUAAUUCUAGAGAGGGAGAUUGAAAAAUGACUACCACAUCUAAGGUAGGUAGUAGGUGUGCAAAUUACCUAAUCCUAACAUGAGGAGGUAGUAACAGUAAAAGACAAUAUUAGGUUCUAUAAGUCUAGUAAUUGGAAUGAGUAUAAUCUAAAUCCCUUAACGAGGAUCCAUUGGAGGGCAAGUUUGGUGCCAGCAGUAUAAUUCCAAUUCCUAUAGUGUAUAUUUAUGUGGUUAUAGUUAAAAAGCUCAUAGUUAGAACUAGGGUUAGGUCAUUUGAUCCACUUCACGAUGAACACCGGCCUACUCAUCCCUACCACUGGCACUGUAUUCCUAGCUUUAACUAGUUGAGUCGUUCUUUCAGUGCUGUUACUUUGAAGAAAUUAAAGUGCUCAAAGUAGGCCUAUGCAUGUAUACGUUAGCAUGGGAUAACAUCAUAGGAUUUUGGUCCUAUUGUGUUGGCCUUUAGGAUCAAAGUAAUGAUUAACAAGGAUAGUCGAGGGAUUCGUAUUUCAUAGUUAGAGGAGAAAUUUUUAGCUUUAUGAAAGAUUAACAAUUGUGAUAGCAUUUGCUAAGGAUGUUUUCAUUAAUCAAAAAUAAAAAUUAAAGGCUACAAAAAGAUCAGAUAUCAUCCUAGUCUCAGCCAUAAAUGAUGCCGACUAGGGAUCAAUGGAUGUUACGUUUAGGACUCCACUGACAACUUAUUAGAAAUCAAAGUCUUUGGGUUUUAGGGGGAGUAUGAUCAUAAGGCUGAAACUUAAAAGAAUUGACAAAAGGGCACCACUAAGAAUAGAGCUUGCAGCUUAAUUUGACUCAACACAAGGGAACGUACCAGGUCCAAACAUAGUAAGGAUUGACAAACUAAGAGCUUUUUCUUGAUUCUAUAGGUGGUGGUGCACGGACAUUCUUAGUUGGUAGAGCAAUUUGUCUAGUUAACUCCAUUAACAAAUGUGACCUCAACCUACUAACUAGCUAUGUGGAGGUGAUCAUUCAUGGCUAGCUUAUUAAAGGGACUAUGGAAGCUUAGGCUAAGGAAGUUGAAGGCAAUAAUAGGUCUUUGAUGCCCUUAGAUGUUUUGGGCCUUAGCACGCUACACUGAUGUAUUGAACAAGUCUAUAGUCAUGGCUGAUAGGCCCAGGUAAUCUUUGAAAUUUCAUUAUGAUGGGGAUAGAUCAUUGCAAUUGUUGGUCUUCAACAAGGAAUUCCUAGUAAGCGCAAGUCAUAACUCACAUUGCCUAUGUCCUUGCCCUUUGUACAUACCACCUAUUGCUCCUACUAAUUGAAUGGUCCAAUGAAGUGUUCGAAUUACGAUGAUGUGGAUAGUUUGCUACCUCGAUGUCACUAAAAGUCCACUAAACCUUAUCAUUUAAAGGAAAGAGAAGUGAUAACAAGAUUUUUGUCGGUGAAGCUAUAGAAG